CACUUUCUCUGGCAGCACCCGGUCCGGGAUCCAAGGUUCAGAGGGGUGUGGUGGCUUACCACGUAUCUGGAGAGAGAGGUUGUUGGGCGAAUCUGGGGCCAGAGGGAGGAUCCUCCAGCCUAGAGUCCAGCUCCAAAAGGCUUCCAGGACUAGAGAAAGCCUGGGGGUGGGCAAGGUGCCUAUGUGGACUCUCUGGACCCCUCUCCUGCUGGUAAGGCCCUCGGGAGGCCUAGGACCACCCUUCUGCCCUCUGGAGCCUUUCUACCUCCUGGUGCCCUCCUGAAGAUGCUGGUGUGUGCUGCUGAGACUCUAGGCUGCUUCUGGCUGGAGCUGACUGUGAUUGGGUUCGAGGAGGGCCCAUCUGUGGGGACUGCUGUGUUCCGGCUACAGCGCUUGCUGGAUGCUCUGGGGUCCCAGCUGUGGGUCACAGCCCAGGGCCCUUGUUUACCCUGUGAAGAAUAUCCCCAGAGACCUGUCUCUCUCUUCCUGGCUAAACUAUUAGAGUUAUUACAGGGGGCUUGUGCUUGGCACCGGCCCUCAGCAUGAGCCUUGGAGGAUGCUGACUUCCUGGUACUCCUGGAGAAGCUGGCAGAGAGAGGGAGAGGAGACUUGGUCUCUAGCCCCAGUUCCUAAACCCUAAGCCUGUUCUUCUAGGCCAGAGGACACCCCCGGAGCCCCAGGGGCCAAGGGGAAGAGGCGAAGAGAAGGAAAAUCAGAUACUCCCUCCUCUCCUCUUCUAGGAAGGAACAGAGCACUGCACAGAUAUCUUUUAACCUCAUCCUCACCCAUGGAGGACAAAGAGAGUCUUGUGGUUCACAUCCCUGGCUGCAAAUAAUUACCGCCUAGAAAACUUUCAAGGAAUACUGAUGGCUAGGCCUCAACCCAGAGAAUUGGACAAUUGCUCUCUGGUGGAUCCUGAACAUCUAUAUUUUUUAAAUCAACUGUAUUGAGGUAUAAUUUACAUGAAGUAAAAGGCACCCAUUUCACUGCA
Molecule: long non-coding RNA, 991 nt
Organism: Pteropus alecto (black flying fox)
Lineage: Eukaryota; Metazoa; Chordata; Mammalia; Chiroptera; Pteropodidae
Exons: 4
Source: RefSeq, a predicted model, not a curated record